This is an RNA transcript of Orussus abietinus, 2640 nucleotides long. It is a transcript of the gene named WD and tetratricopeptide repeats protein 1, with no coding region annotated. The record is from RefSeq and is a predicted model, not a curated record. The transcript is spliced from 16 exons. NCBI's taxonomy places the organism in Eukaryota, Metazoa, Arthropoda, Insecta, Hymenoptera, Orussidae.
GAGCAUAAAGGGGUUUGAUCGCCGCACUCUUUCUACCUGAUUUUCCGUCCUGGCAGAACGUGGGAUAGAGAAGACUGUGAAUAGAUUUUUGUGUUACGUGUAUGUGUAAUGGAGUUUACAAUUUAUUCUCAAGCGUACACAGAGCCUGACAUACAUACUUUAUUUACUCGUAAGCCAACAGGAAGAACGUACAUACUCAACGUCCUGGCAUAAUGUUUGAGACUCGUUUGGAUUGCAUAUUCAUCAUAAUAAAUAAAAAACAUUAGUUGAUGUGCAUGAAAACCGAAAAUUUUGAAACGUUCAAGAUGAUUCCGGCAGGUUAUUGCAGCACCUUUUUUUUGACCAAGCUUUCAUAGGAAAUACGUUGCGUAGUUUUUCCAAUCGUACAGCGGGUAACAACCGUUAAUUGUAACACUCAGGAAACAUGAGGUUACUAAUGUCAUGCGAAGUCAUGUAACCGUAAUAACUAUCAAAAGAUACUAAGGCGCAAGCUAUGAAAUAAAAAACAAAAUGUAUCGAAAUAGAAUGGAUGUGGACCAUAAAAUAGUAGAUUUGUUACGCCAAAGAGAAAUACAUGAGUCAGCUGCAUAUGUAUUAUCACAAAAAUGGCAUGUGACGGAUAGUCUUAUAAACCGUUUAGGUUUAGAAAAGGAACUGAACGGUCAUAGUGGUUGCGUCAACUGUUUGGAGUGGAACGAAACGGGAGAGAUUUUGGCAUCUGCUUCCGAUGAUAUCCGAAUAAUAUUAUGGGAUCCAUUUCGUUAUAAAAAGAAGUUGAUUCUACACACAGGACAUAAUGGAAACAUCUUCUCCGUUAAAUUUAUGCCAAAAUCGAAUGACAGUAUACUGGUGUCAGGUGCAGGGGAUAACAGGAUACGGGUCCAUAAUAUACCACUUGCCGAUACAACACUUACAUGCAGCUGCCAUACUGGCCGAGUGAAGAGAAUUGCAACCGCAGCUAGUGUACCUUUUCUGUUCUGGAGUGCAGCAGAAGAUGGCUUGGUGUUACAGUAUGAUAUACGUGUACCACAUUCUUGUGCCUCGUUUGAUCAUAAAGGCGUUCUUAUAAAUCUCGUCAAUCACUUGGGGCCAUUUGCGGAAGCAAAAUGCAUCUCCAUAAAUCCCAGAAGGCCAGAAUUAAUUGCGAUUGGAGCAAACGAUGCAUAUAUUCGAAUGUAUGAUCGCAGAAUGAUUAAACUUGCCCCUUUAAAAGUUCCGGUAGCAACCUCACAUCCUGCAGAAGGAGAUCCGGACAAUAAUGUUCCUUUAGGAUGCGUGCAGUACUUUAUUGCAGGUCACUUACAUUCAAGACGUGAUCAUGCAAGAACUUUAGCUGCAACGUAUCUUACAUUUAAUGCCAAUGGAAAUGAAUUACUUGUUAACAUGGGUGGUGAACAGAUUUAUUUGUUUGAUAUCAACAAGCAAAACGAUUCCAAAAUAUUUGACACUUACCUGCCAAGAAAAGGCUCAGAAUCAAUCAAAAAGGAUCAGGAUCUAGACAGGUGUACAGAAGAAAGGAAUUUGGAAGAUCCACCCAGAUUUACCAUGACAAACACGAAAAAUUUGCCUGGUUACGUAGAGAGCCUAAAGCUAGAGGCUAAUAGAGAAUUCGAUCGGCAAAAAUAUACUCUGGCAAUUAAUUUAUAUAAUCAAGCACUCUCUUACUGCCCCACAGCUGCAGUACUUUUUGCUAACAGAGCUGCUGCUCUUAUGAAAAGAGGAUGGGAUGGAGAUGUAUAUGCUGCAUUGCGUGAUUGUCAAAUGACUCUAUUACUCGACCCAGAACAUGUUAAAGCACAUUUCAGGUUGGCUCGUUGUCUUUACGACUUACAUCGUGCCUCUGACGCAUAUAAAGUCAUUGAAAGUUUUCAAGAAAAGUUUCCCGAAUAUGUAUCUAACUCAGUCUGUAGAGCCUUAAGAAAAGAUAUUAAAGAAGCCUUGAAUUCUGGGAAAGAUGUAUCACAAGGAAAUCAGUUUUCCCUACACAUCUCAUCUAAUGAACGAGAAUGGAGACGAAAUACGUCUGAUUACAAAAUGAGGUUUUGUGGACAUUGUAACACUACUACAGAUAUAAAGGAAGCCAACUUUUUUGGAAACAAUGGCCAGUAUAUAGUCGCGGGUUCCGAUGAUGGAUCAUUUUUCAUUUGGGAUCGGAAGACAACAAAUAUCGUUAGAGUACUACAUGGAGACGAGAGUAUAGUGAACUGUCUUCAACCACAUCCUUCAACAUGUUUAUUAGCUACCAGUGGAAUCGAAUCCGUUAUUCGAUUGUGGAGUCCCCGUCCAGAGGAUGGCAGCGUAAAUGAUCGAGAAAUACAAAACUUAGACGAUGCCGCAACAGCAAAUCAAUUACGUAUGAAUAGUGAUCCUUUCGAAUUAAUGUUAAUCAAUAUGGGAUAUCGAUUUUCUGGACAUCCUACUGGUCUAGACGAGGAAGGUGUAGCAGAGCAUCAAGGAUCCGUUGCACAGGCCAAUUGUAGACCAAGCUAAGCAUUGUUGUUAAAGUAAAACCUUCUACGUCGAAUUCAGGCGGAGCUUCUACCUUUAAUGACAUUUUUCGUGUGCGGCAAGAAGAGAUGUGAUUUCUUUAUGAAGGAUGUACAAUUUUUGCAUAGGAUCUAUUCGAAAACCCAAAAUAAG